RNAcentral lists this long non-coding RNA (1059 nucleotides) under Phasianus colchicus (ring-necked pheasant). Its description in RNAcentral is "lncRNA (ENSPCLG00000022065.1)". Lineage: Eukaryota; Metazoa; Chordata; Aves; Galliformes; Phasianidae. The record is from RNAcentral.
CGGGGGGUCACCGCGCCCGCCCGGUCCGGGCACCGCGCCGCUUUGCGGGGCUGGGGGCUGCCCGGGGGGCCUCUCCGCGUCCCGCCGGCCCCGCCCGCACCGCCGCGGACGCGAUCCCGUUACGCGGGCGUCCGUGGGGGCCAGCGCUGCGCGGGGGCGCCGCUGGAUCGGGCCACGGGACCGGAGCUGCGGGCGCCGAGCGGGACGGACCCCGCGGAGACGGCCUCUGGCUGCGGUGCCCCCGUGCUGCCCCCCUCGGGAGGACGCGCUCCCGGUAGCGGUUUCCCGGUGGAGGUUCGGGGCUGGGGCCGGGAAGGAGCGUUUGGGCUUCUGUUGUGGCGCCCUUUCUCUGCGUGGCCGUAAGUGCUUCCAGAUGGGGAUUCAGCCACCAGACGUAACAAUAUUUCCAUAUUUGGUAUAGCAGUAGCCCGCAUUUUUCACAUUUUUCUGCUCUGUUAUCCAACCGCAAAGCAUUCUUGACAGCUUCAGAUGCUGUUAAAUAUAGCCCUCGCUGCCGUUCCCAGGGCAGGAAAUUCUCUGGAAUUCCUGCUUUUCACGCAAUCUGUCCAUCAUGAUUUAGGAGCGCAGCGCCGGAGCAGCCAACUGGCGUUACCCCGCCGCGGGUACUGCGAAAAGCGGAGCUCCGUCCCGCGCUCCAGCGGCGUGACCGCGAGUCCCCAUCGCAGGGAUUCCUUACAAGCGAGACUCGUUCCUAACACCGGUUUGGGGUGGGCUACGGGGGAGGUUUUUUUUUUCUUUUUCUGUUGCCUUCGAGGAUGGAGGUGGAGGCGCGCAGGAGAGCCCCGCGCAGCGGAGGGGUGGGGAGGGCGGGCUGCGGGCGCUGCCUGUCCCCUGGCGGGGCGGCCCCGCGGGACGGGCACGGCUGCGGGCACACGGGCGGCCGGCUGCUGUCCGCUGGGGGACGGCGUCACGGCGACGGACGGGACGAGCACGGCUUGGUGGAACACCCUGCAGGUGCUUUUUGUUCGAGGUGGCUCUACAGGGCAGCUUUGUGAUCAGAUGGAACAACGUUGUCAUUCAGUGCGAUUUUGUUACUGA